ACCACAUGAAUCUGGCGGCCGCUGACACCAAAACACAUAAGCGUCUCCACGCAGGGCUGAAUAGCUAGAGAAGGUCUCGCUCAAGCCCUGUCCAUGGUGCUGAAGCACAGCCAGCGCUGCACAACUCGGAUGUUUUCAACCACAACAGGAUUUCUGCCAAAACUAUUAUCAGCUCCACGUGUUUGGCCUCGCGGUCGAUGGCCUUCAUCUUACCCGUCACCACGCUGAUCCAGGAGCGCAGAGACAGCCGGGCUUGAUCCUGAUCGCUGUAGCAGUGACUGUGGAGGAACAGAUCCUGCUUCAGAUUUACACAGCUAUGAAAAGAGCAGCCAGAAGGACAUUGGUGUCUUUCACUUCCAGAAAUGAAUACCAUUGAAUGAAGAGAGGACAGUAGCGACGCCUGAACAAAAGCAUGCGGGGUGUGUGAGGUUAUUCUGCAAACACUCGACGGACAGAUGCUGAAAUCCCUUAAUUUCCAGCACAGCACUGGCCUGCUUUAAAGCGCUUUCUUC
Sinocyclocheilus anshuiensis is the source of this 512-nucleotide long non-coding RNA. RefSeq lists it as uncharacterized. NCBI's taxonomy places the organism in Eukaryota, Metazoa, Chordata, Actinopteri, Cypriniformes, Cyprinidae. The record is from RefSeq and is a predicted model, not a curated record. The transcript is spliced from 4 exons.